This 1500-nucleotide ribosomal RNA is filed under the name Acinetobacter calcoaceticus. Its description in RNAcentral is "bacterial SSU rRNA". It matches the Rfam family "Bacterial small subunit ribosomal RNA". The record is from RNAcentral. Lineage: Bacteria; Pseudomonadati; Pseudomonadota; Gammaproteobacteria; Moraxellales; Moraxellaceae.
AGAGUUUGAUCAUGGCUCAGAUUGAACGCUGGCGGCAGGCUUAACACAUGCAAGUCGAGCGGAGAGAGGUAGCUUGCUACUGAUCUUAGCGGCGGACGGGUGAGUAAUGCUUAGGAAUCUGCCUAUUAGUGGGGGACAACAUUUCGAAAGGAAUGCUAAUACCGCAUACGUCCUACGGGAGAAAGCAGGGGAUCUUCGGACCUUGCGCUAAUAGAUGAGCCUAAGUCGGAUUAGCUAGUUGGUGGGGUAAAGGCCUACCAAGGCGACGAUCUGUAGCGGGUCUGAGAGGAUGAUCCGCCACACUGGGACUGAGACACGGCCCAGACUCCUACGGGAGGCAGCAGUGGGGAAUAUUGGACAAUGGGCGCAAGCCUGAUCCAGCCAUGCCGCGUGUGUGAAGAAGGCCUUAUGGUUGUAAAGCACUUUAAGCGAGGAGGAGGCUACUUUAGUUAAUACCUAGAGAUAGUGGACGUUACUCGCAGAAUAAGCACCGGCUAACUCUGUGCCAGCAGCCGCGGUAAUACAGAGGGUGCAAGCGUUAAUCGGAUUUACUGGGCGUAAAGCGCGCGUAGGCGGCUAAUUAAGUCAAAUGUGAAAUCCCCGAGCUUAACUUGGGAAUUGCAUUCGAUACUGGUUAGCUAGAGUGUGGGAGAGGAUGGUAGAAUUCCAGGUGUAGCGGUGAAAUGCGUAGAGAUCUGGAGGAAUACCGAUGGCGAAGGCAGCCAUCUGGCCUAACACUGACGCUGAGGUGCGAAAGCAUGGGGAGCAAACAGGAUUAGAUACCCUGGUAGUCCAUGCCGUAAACGAUGUCUACUAGCCGUUGGGGCCUUUGAGGCUUUAGUGGCGCAGCUAACGCGAUAAGUAGACCGCCUGGGGAGUACGGUCGCAAGACUAAAACUCAAAUGAAUUGACGGGGGCCCGCACAAGCGGUGGAGCAUGUGGUUUAAUUCGAUGCAACGCGAAGAACCUUACCUGCCCUUGACAUAGUAAGACUUUCCAGAGAUGGAUUGGUGCUUCGGGAACUUACAUACAGGUGCUGCAUGGCUGUCGUCAGCUCGUGUCGUGAGAUGUUGGGUUAAGUCCCGCAACGAGCGCAACCCUUUUCCUUAUUUGCCAGCGAGUAAUGUCGGGAACUUUAAGGAUACUGCCAGUGACAAACUGGAGGAAGGCGGGGACGACGUCAAGUCAUCAUGGCCCUUACGGCCAGGGCUACACACGUGCUACAAUGGUCGGUACAAAGGGUUGCUACCUAGCGAUAGGAUGCUAAUCUCAAAAAGCCGAUCGUAGUCCGGAUUGGAGUCUGCAACUCGACUCCAUGAAGUCGGAAUCGCUAGUAAUCGCGGAUCAGAAUGCCGCGGUGAAUACGUUCCCGGGCCUUGUACACACCGCCCGUCACACCAUGGGAGUUUGUUGCACCAGAAGUAGCUAGCCUAACUGCAAAGAGGGCGGUUACCNCGGUGUGGCCGAUGACUGGGGUGAAGUCGUAACAAGGUAACCGUA